AAGGGAAAUUCUACAAGUUGCACUAAUGUGUCUCAAGUUCUUCUUAAGAGUAUUGUAAGGCCUGGGGAUACUAUAGCUAAAGGAACCGUUUUAAGCAUGGAUCCAUUGACAAAUGUAGGGGGGCAAAAACUUGGAGUUGGUUUCUGGGAAGUAUCUGUUCAAGUGGCAAUGGUACGUGUUGAGGAUUUGAUAAGGACCCAUGGACAAUAUAAAACAAUUGGGGAUGCAAUUGGAACGAGUAUUGCUUGGCCCACUACUUUAUGUAUGGUUGUAGACAGAAAUGGAUGAUGACUAAAUGGGAGAGGUUUUUAUUAAGUAUUUGGAACUAUAAACAUCUUUUGUAAGUGGGGUAGUAGGGAUCCGUGGUUUUAGACUUUUGGAUUGAGUUAGACAUAUCUAAAUAGUUUAUUUUUAUCUUAGUUUAAUUAUAGAGGUCACAUCUAAACUCAUCUAAUCUCUUUAAUUUAAUCUUAGUUUUAUAAGAUUAUGAUUUGUGAUUUGAA
Magnolia sinica is the source of this 503-nucleotide long non-coding RNA. RefSeq lists it as uncharacterized. Lineage: Eukaryota; Viridiplantae; Streptophyta; Magnoliopsida; Magnoliales; Magnoliaceae. The transcript has 2 exons. The record is from RefSeq and is a predicted model, not a curated record.